Non-coding RNA from Pelobates cultripes (western spadefoot toad), 339 nucleotides. The record is from the annotation of a GenBank genome assembly. Lineage: Eukaryota; Metazoa; Chordata; Amphibia; Anura; Pelobatidae.
AUUUAUAUUUCUACGUGCCAAUUUAUAUUUGGCACGUAUAAAAUCAGACCAAAUAAUAUUUGGUAUGUAUUAUAUGCAUAUGUACAUUGGUCAUUUUACACUAUGCUGUAUAUUAGAAAUUAGCUAUCAUUGCUUAGUUAACCCUCACUUACCUAGUCAUUACAUUAGCUGAUACUUUUUACUUACCAUGGCUUAUUUCUCAAUAUUCUCUCCUGCUGUGUUGCCAAAUUGAGCUCUUUACCUGUGUCAAUAUCUAAAUUGCUUUGUUUCCUAUUUGGUCAACAUUACUGUACAAGUACGAUUUGUAUGUGGAAGUGUAAAAAAAAAAUAUUUAUAUAA